This 622-nucleotide ribosomal RNA is filed under the name uncultured bacterium. Its description in RNAcentral is "bacterial SSU rRNA". It matches the Rfam family "Bacterial small subunit ribosomal RNA", at positions 338 to 954 of the family's 1533-position model. The record is from RNAcentral.
CCUACGGGAGGCAGCAGUGGGGAAUUUUGGACAAUGGGCGCAAGCCUGAUCCAGCCAUUCCGCGUGAGUGAAGAAGGCCUUCGGGUUGUAAAGCUCUUUCGCAAGGGAAGAAAACUUAGUCUCUAACAUAGACUGAGGUUGACGGUACCUUGAUAAGAAGCACCGGCUAACUACGUGCCAGCAGCCGCGGUAAUACGUAGGGUGCGAGCGUUAAUCGGAAUUACUGGGCGUAAAGCGUGCGCAGGCUGUUUUGUAAGUCAGAUGUGAAAUCCCUGAGCUCAACUUAGGAACUGCGUUUGAAACUACAAGACUAGAAUAUGUCAGAGGGGGGUAGAAUUCCACGUGUAGCAGUGAAAUGCGUAGAGAUGUGGAGGAAUACCAAUGGCGAAGGCAGCCCCCUGGGAUAAUAUUGACGCUCAUGCACGAAAGCGUGGGGAGCAAACAGGAUUAGAUACCCUGGUAGUCCACGCCCUAAACGAUGUCUACUAGUUGUUGGUGGAGUAAAAUCCAUGAGUAACGCAGCUAACGCGUGAAGUAGACCGCCUGGGGAGUACGGUCGCAAGAUUAAAACGUCAAAGGAAUUGACGGCUGAGACAGCGACGGACGACGACGAGGGAGGAGG